Molecule: ribosomal RNA, 38 nt
Filed under: Pilobolus sphaerosporus
Lineage: Eukaryota; Fungi; Mucoromycota; Mucoromycetes; Mucorales; Pilobolaceae
Description: partial 28S ribosomal RNA
Source: RNAcentral
GCUGAAAUCAAGUGGGAUAACCCGCUGAAAUCAAACAU